Molecule: long non-coding RNA, 1956 nt
Organism: Ipomoea nil (Japanese morning glory)
Lineage: Eukaryota; Viridiplantae; Streptophyta; Magnoliopsida; Solanales; Convolvulaceae
Exons: 2
Source: RefSeq, a predicted model, not a curated record
CCCAUAGGGGCAGAGAAUCCGAUUCCCCGUCGGAUGCGGGUAAAAUUGACAUCCCUAGCUUGUUCCUUUCACUAUUCAGGAGGAAAUGCAACACCAGCACUGUUCAAAGAGUUUAUUGGUAAUGUCCAGACGAUUCGCACGCUCCUCCAUGACUAUAGAAUAUCGCAAAAUAACUAGAGUGGAACUCUCAUCUGCUCAUGAAACCAUAUACCUGAUCAUUUUAAGUGUUUGAGGCCGGCUUAUUCAGCUUGCUGUGUUAAGGGCUAUCAUGACCCGUGUAUCCGGGGACAGGCGCAACUUCAAAACUGAUCGGGAAGCUCAAACUGAGUGGCUAGAAACUGGGGACUCGCCAAUUGAGUUUGGAACUCUGGUCGGUUACUUUGACCGGAGGAGUCAUGAUGAUCGGCCAGAACUAUACUCACCUUUGGAGGUCUUUUCUGUUGAAUCACCAGCCAGAACCGUGUGUCUGUCCACUACGUUGCACUUGGGAAGCUUAAAACAUAGCAGAGCCUUUUUUUUUGCAUUAUCUCUUCCUUUCUAUUUUAUUUUCAUUUUCUCUUUCAUUCCACCUUCUUGGACUUCACGCUCCACCGCCACACCCACCAAUAAGAGUGUAUGCAUGCACUUUUCCAUUUUUAUUUUCCUUCAGCUUUGAUUUUUGUAUUCCACCGCCACAGCCACCAAUGAGAAAAAAGCAUUCAAUAUUUGAACUCUAUUUGCCUUUCUUUUCUGAAAUCCACCGUAACCCAGCAUCAAUGAAAAUGAAGCUUUAGCAUUAACCUCUCUUUCUCUCUGUACACCCCACACCCACAAUUUACAAUCUCUUGAGCUUAGAAAAUACAUGCCAGCAGGGGAGAUGGCAGAUGCGCAUGCAACAUUUCCUGAUUUCUCCUCUAUUCUUGAUAAAAGCAAUACUACGUUGACUGCGGGAGAUACAAAUAAAAUGGACACCGAAGGAACUGCAUGCGUAUAAUGUUGAUAUGGAAAGCCUAAGGCAACAUCACCUAUACAGUGACAUUCCUGAUAUCUAGCAUAGUGCCGCUGUUGAUGAAGUGUGACUGUGUAUGUUCAUAAAGUGGCUUUGGCUUGUGCUUGGAGGUAGGAGUUACACGCUGUAAACAUACUCUGAGCGACGGAACAGCAGCGAAGAUGCCUCUUCCGACGAACUAAAUCAGCGGCCUGGAGGGAUAGAAUCUCCGGCCCCUUCUACUUCUCCUCGCAGGGUGAAUUCACCAGUUGAGAAGGCUUUUUGAAUGGGAUACAAAAAUAGGACGUUUUUUUUUUAUACAAACAUUGGAAAAGCUACAUUGAGGAAUGCAUGUUUACUUUUUUAAACAUGCAUAUGAGGAAUGCAUUAUUAGCUUUUAAUAAAAUGUAUUCUCAGAAAGAGUACGAUACAUUAUGCGUAGAUAGUACGGAGAUAAUACGGUAGAAGACAAAGACGAAUGCGCGACAUCGAUCUGCGUCUGUUCGGGCGGUGGACGGCGGCGUUGUGUUUGGCGGACAACGGCGGUGCGCGGUGGUCGACCGCGUGUGGUGGUUUGUGGUGGUCGACGGCAUGCGAUGGUUUGUGGUGGUCGACGGUGUGCGGUGCUUGAGGCAGAAACCGGCGACAUUUACACUUCUUACUUCAAACUGACAAAAACUUAUAUGUAAGCUCUAAACUUGCUAAGUUUUUCUGAUGUGUAUUAUGAAUAAUGGGGGGUUUGGGUGGUGAUGUUUUUCUGAUGUGCAGAGGAUGAGAGGCUCUGCAUUAUCUUUAUAUUUUCCAGUGUCUCACUACUGGCGCAUCGCUCGAUUUUCCUUUUGUAUUUUUUCCAGAACACAAUUCCUCCAAUUCAGAGUCUGAUCGCAACGGAGAUACAUUCUCUUUCACUUUUGUGCAAUUUAGAUUCUCUCCGAGACCUUGAUUUGUAUUUUCCUCUGAAAUUGAAGCUUCGUGCACAUCUUUCUCCA